UCGCCUCGGGAAACAUGGGUAUUGAAAAUCUUAAAAACCCGUAGGUUCCCAAAGUCAAGAGGGAAACAACCUAGAUCGUACGCUAAGGUCCCUAAGCAAUCACUUAGUAGAAAAGGAAGUGAUCGAGCGAUGAGACCCAAGAGGUGGGCUUGGAAGCAGCCAUCCUUUGAAGAAAGCGUAAUAGCUUACUGGUCUAGCUCCAUGGCACUGUAAAUGUCUCAGGGCUCAAGUGAUUCAUCGAAGCAACGAGAGCUUGAAAGCAGCUUUUUCAAGUGUCAGUAGCAGGACGUUUUGUCAAUCGGGGAAGGUUUUUGGUGACGAGACCUGGAGAUACCAGAAGUG
This 342-nucleotide non-coding RNA is filed under the name Triticum aestivum (bread wheat). RNAcentral describes it as "Bacterial large subunit ribosomal RNA". It matches the Rfam family "Bacterial large subunit ribosomal RNA", at positions 972 to 1290 of the family's 2925-position model. Lineage: Eukaryota; Viridiplantae; Streptophyta; Magnoliopsida; Poales; Poaceae. The record is from Rfam by way of RNAcentral.